Polypterus senegalus (gray bichir) is the source of this 1838-nucleotide long non-coding RNA. RefSeq lists it as uncharacterized. The transcript has 2 exons. The record is from RefSeq and is a predicted model, not a curated record. Lineage: Eukaryota; Metazoa; Chordata; Cladistia; Polypteriformes; Polypteridae.
CUCAGAUGUUGUAAGUUUCCUCAGAUAAAUACAUCAGCUAAAUAUUAAUAAACACUAAUAAAAAAUUAUAGUAACAACCUAACCUGCAGAACUUUGGGGAGACGAGUACACCAUAAAAACUCCACACCAACUAGAAUGUCUGGUUGUGAAAUUCAAGCCUACGAUGAAUCGAUACGUGAGGUGGGAGCAGGACCCUCCGCGUCGCUAUGCAACUUUUAUAAUUGAUGGGGAAAGACAAUUUAGUGUCUCGCUCAAAAUUAAAACAGAAAAAACGAGGUGGAGACCUGAUGGAGUUUUUAGACCACACCGCCCCAUCGCGGAUGCAUGCGACUGAAGCACUUGUCACAAUUUAGGUCAAUAAUUGUGGUGGUCCUUGCCAGUGCCCUGCGAGGAUCCCAUAGUAAAUAUUAAAGGAAGUCGUCUUCGUCAAAUUUCUGCGAGUCCUGUCUGUUGCUUUUCGUUGCCAAUAAAGCACAUUUUGAAGUCGAGGAAGAAGGGGGAAGCGGUGUCGUUCCGAGCGCACAAACGGCGACUUUGGCAACUGUCUCUUACGCUGAGCGGCGCGCUUCUGUCACAUGUGAGGUUGCCAAGGCAGGAGCAGCAGGAGGAGGAAGAGGAGGACGUGUCUUGUGCAGUGAGGAGGCUGACCACGUGCAUACCAUGAAGGCAGUGGUGGAUGCUGUCUGGGCUGUGUGGAGCAUAGGGGCUUCCAUCUACGAUUAUGUGCACACCAACGCUAUGGAGGAACGAAUCCACGCUUUGGAAAAUGUCAUCACUGUCCACCAGUUUGUCAUCGUGGCUCUCACAGCAGCCCUAGUCAUCAUUGUAACUUACAUUAUACUAAGGCAGUAGCUCUUCUGCAAGGGGAGGACAUGUGCCAUUACAGGUACCACUCCAGUUUACCAAAACAACAACUUGAAAUAUUAUAGGUAGACCUUAUUUUAUAACAGGCCUUGCUAUUUUCCAACAAUCAGUAAGAUUGUUGUCUUUUCCCUGAAAGGACACCAUUCAAAGCCAUAUGACAACAGAAAACGAACCACUGGCUGGCAGAAGAGUACACUUUGUCGACAUCGGAUCUAAUCAACCAAUAUGAUGCUACAAAACAGAAGACCCAAGAUUGUGUUUAAAGAGACAGCAAUAGAAUGGGAUCUGGAAACUUUAACAAGAAAACUCAUAAAUAAAAAAAAAAGAAGUGUGACUUCACACUUACAAAGCUGCUAUACAGAGAGGGAUGAAGGCCUCGUUGUGAUAAGUGCCCUUAGUGACCUCUGAGCGGGCCUUGCAGCUAUCCUCUAAACCCCACCAAGUGGAAGAUGUAGUGGGGCUUGUAGCAGGUGGUUUCUGUUAAAUUCAUCCUUCUAUAGCAGUCUUAUUUCCUAAUGUAAAUGGUGCAACACUGUAGUUAAUAACAUUAUUUUUAACACUUGAAGAUGGGGAAAGCUUUUAGAUGUGUCUGUUCUGUUGCCAACCUAAUUUAUUAAUUCAAAAUAUUUUCAUUUCUUUUUUGUAGUUGUUAAAAAUGCUAUAUUUUGUAUGAGCAAAUAAUUUUUUAAGCCAGGCUGCUUAUGUGACUUUGUACAAUAGGUGAUGCUCUGGUCUACCAUUUAUGACAACUGCUUAACUAUUUUUGUUUUCUUCUAAAACAACUUAGGAAUCUGAUUAAAUAUACUAAUGCUGUUCAUUAACCCUGUAUGCAUUGUUUAAUGCAUAACAUAAGGAAGUGUUCAUGAAAUCAAUGGGUGUGAACUACUUUCUAUUUGCACAUGAUUGGCUCUGCUUAUGGUGCUGGGUAGCUAAUUCAAAACAUUGCUCAGGCAAAAAAGGGUAAAAAAAAAAAA